ACCCUAUCGAUAUUGCCUCUGCUUUGUAGAUAGCUGUGAGUAGUGCAAUAUUGCUUAUAGGGUUU
This 65-nucleotide microRNA precursor is filed under the name Scyliorhinus torazame (cloudy catshark). RNAcentral's name for it is "Sto-Mir-130-P3b_pre stem-loop". It matches the Rfam family "mir-454 microRNA precursor family", at positions 23 to 86 of the family's 103-position model. Lineage: Eukaryota; Metazoa; Chordata; Chondrichthyes; Carcharhiniformes; Scyliorhinidae. The record is from RNAcentral.